UAUAAGAGGUCCAGCCUGCCCAGUGAUUCAUUCAACGGCCGCGGUAUCCUAACCGUGCAAAGGUAGCGUAAUCACUUGUUUUCCAAAUAAAGACCAGUAUGAAAGGCAUCACGAGAACUAAACUGUCUCCUUUCUCUAAUCAGUGAACCUAAUCUCCCCGUGAAGAAGCGGGGAUCCCACUAUAAGACGAGAAGACCCUGUGGAGCUUAAAACAUUAAAACAGUGCCCCCCCCCCUACAACCACCCUGAUGGGCUCCCCCCCCCCCCCGGCACCCUGAUUACAUGUUUUUGGUUGGGGUGACCGCGGAGAAAAACCCAUCCUCCGUAAUGAAAGGGGACUUCCCCUAAGCAACAAGCUACAACUUUAUUCAUCAAAAAAUUGACAUCUUUGACCCAAUAAAUUGAUUAACGAAC
RNAcentral lists this ribosomal RNA (414 nucleotides) under Pristimantis sp. 4 AF-2012. RNAcentral's name for it is "partial 16S ribosomal RNA". It matches the Rfam family "Bacterial large subunit ribosomal RNA", at positions 1844 to 2457 of the family's 2925-position model. Lineage: Eukaryota; Metazoa; Chordata; Amphibia; Anura; Strabomantidae. The record is from RNAcentral.